Molecule: non-coding RNA, 72 nt
Organism: Phrynosoma platyrhinos (Desert horned lizard)
Lineage: Eukaryota; Metazoa; Chordata; Lepidosauria; Squamata; Phrynosomatidae
Source: the annotation of a GenBank genome assembly
AGCCAGUGUGGCAUAGUGGUUUGAGCAUUGGACUAUGACUCUGGAGACCAGGGUUCGAUUACCGCUUGGCUA